UAGGCUCGUGUGCCGGGGCAGUGGCGAUCUCGCGGACGGAUAGUAGAAAAAAAGGUGAGUCUUUUUGCUGGAAAAAAGAGAAGGUGAGGUUGUAUCUCGUUAGUUGGGUUUCCACUGUUGAUGAAAAUCAUACCUGGCCGAUCUGACGGGGCUGCCUGCAACUUCAGAAUUCGAGCGGAUUGCUGCAUAAUAGUCUUGUUGUAGCCUGGCCGAUCUGUGAAUAUUUGAUUGUAGGUGAAGGAGGGGCGGCCGCCCACUUGACGGUGCUGAUCAGGGCGGCGAGGGAGCCCGGCAGGGGGGCGUCGAUGUAGUGCUGGGCGGUGACGAUCCGAUGUAGGGAUCAAGGUCGCCGUGCAGGGAGGCAUCAAUGCAGUGCAGGGCUGGCGAUGAAAGGCAGGGAGAGGGGCGAGGGACACGAUUAGGUUGAGUUUCCUUUUUUGCGAGUUGGUUAGAUGGUUAGAUUACCGUGAUUUGAGGGGCUGAAGAGGUGGGACGGGGAGUUUCAUAUUUUCAUCUGGUGGAGUACGGUCAGUCUAUGUAAACUGCUAAGCGCACACCAGAUCUCGAAUAAAUCAAUGAUGGUUGUUAGAUGGGGCUGUGCGGGCUUGAUCCUGUGGUGGUGAUAUGGGCGACGAGGCUGUGGACAUUUUGUGGGGUGCACGUAAGAAAGUUUUUGUUUGAUUGUUUAAUAGUAGUGGAGAUAGAAUGGAUGAGCAUUACAAAGUGCAGAUGUUUUGCAAAAUAGAUGAGUCAAAAACUUAGUUUUAGUUUUCCAUAGAAAGCAUUUCGGAGCUACCGAUUUAAACUUGGUGACACCUAAGCUACUUUUGUAGUAUAAACUAGUGGAAUCGAUCAGACCGAGGCACAGUUCGGUGAGUCCGAGAUUGCUAGGGUUUCACUGAGAGUUGAAUUCGGUCACACCGAUUUGCAAGUUUUGGUCAGACUGAAAAGUGCAAGUGUAAUGGCCAAAGCCAAAUUGGUGAGACCGAUUUCCACAACUCGGUCGGUCCGAGAUGAGUUCGACAGAAACCUAACUCUGAAUUUUCGAAUCAAAUCUAGUCUAAAGAAGGUUUUUGCUGGACAAGAUGAUCUCAUACGUGGUAAGAAACAUGGCACUUGCUUUGUGCUAAGAAUCGGAGGAAAGAAUUGCACACAGAUUCGAACUCAUACCCUAGUUCGGUGAUGAGCUUGCUACAACGACAACGGCGGCGUAGAAUUCUGUUGACGGCAACAGAAACUAGCGGCGGGAGGUCAUUGGCGACGAGAGGACGAUCCGGAGACCCGAGACGACAGAGAAGGACACGCGUGGGCGAAAGGGUUUUGGAGGAAUUUCCAAAAUUUGACCCGUCGGUAUAUAUAUCGUGACCUUGUCGGUGUGACCGAGUGGAACAACUCGGUGGCACCGAGAUGCAGAAUUGCAAGUUGUUACUGCAACUCGGUGUGACUAAAUGGUUUUAAUCGAUUGCAUCCAGAUUAAAACUAGAUCAAGGCAAUGAACUCAGUUUGACCAAAAAGAAUGAAUCGGUCAGACCGAAAUGCACACGGAGAUUUUGGAAGUUUAAGUCUAUGAUGAAUCGAUGACUCUGAGUGCUCCUCACACAGAGGGUUCGAAUCUGACUUGAUCAAACUUUGUGAUAUAGCAUGAAUAUAGUUUGAGACGAGAAAAUCAUAGAUAACUAUAGGAAGUUCUUAGGCAUUCUUGUUCAUCCAUUUGGCAAAAGAAAAAGAUCCAAAAAUCAAAGCAACAAAUGGAUGUCCUUAAAUGAGUAAAAUAUGCAAUCAACAUGCUCACACAAUAAAAUGUCAAAUAAAAUAUGUGAGAAAGCAUCCACAAACACUCUAGAAUCUAUCAAACAAUUGGCGAUGACUAGGUCAUCUAUAUAUGAGUAUAUUGACUUAGGAGUCAAAUGAGAACAUUUGAUCAUAGGUCAUAUUCAUCGUUUGAGCAUAAGUGGGGUUACCACUUUUACAUAAAGUAUUAUUGUGUUCACAUCAUUAGAGUUGCUUUAGCUCAAUAUUUAGAGUAAAUCUCCUUCUAGAUGUGAUGUCCCCCCUUAAAAGGGAUAAACUAACCUUGGGUUUUGUCGAUGAUGACUUCAUGUAGAUGUUGAAGAUGUGGAUGCUCAAUGUUGAUGUAGAUCAUUUGGAGCAAUCCAUUGGAGUAAGUUGCACUUUCAAUACCUACACGGGUUAGUUCCACAAGGAACAAGCAAGGAUAUCCAUAGACAUAGAGUGAAGUGCACACAAGAUGAUGUCCAUGAAAGCAUUAGGUUACCUUGUCCCUUGACUUACCAACAAGAGGGUUUGUGAGUCCUUGAACUAGUGCAAGAUGUGAAAGUUGUUUGCACUUGUCCACGCCAAAGUGAUAUGAGUGACGUAUGUUGGCGGAGUCACCCUCAAGAACUUUCUAGUUCUUCUUCUUCAGGAUCCACAUCAACUUGAUGGGAAUCCUUGGAGUUGUAGUCAUACUUGAUGAGGUGGAACUUGAUGUAGUCUUGGAAACCCACUUGACCAAGGCCUUGUGAGCUUCUUCAAAUGCAUCAAUCUCCUCUUGAAUCUUGUUCUUGCUUUUUUGCUUGUGGUUUUGUGUUGGAAGAUCAUCUUGAGCUUGUGUCCCCUUGAAAGAAGUAGGAUCAUACUUCUCUUGUUGAGGAACAAACUUCGUCUUGGGGUAUUAAUCUUCUUCCCAUUCAACUCCAUUAGCAUUGAACUUUCGUUCAAAAUCAACACCUUGUUUCUUCUGGUGCCUUCCUUGCUUGCUUACAAUUUCCUCAAAUUGCUUACUUCCAGCAAGGCUCUUGUAAACACCUUUCUUAUAAUUCCCUUCAAUAAGCUAUUUUCUUGCUCAAGUAUAACUUGGCUAAGAGAAUCAUUAGUGAAAUCAAGAGAACUACUAGAAGCAACAAUAGUGGAUUUAACAUGAUUAUUGUUACUACUAGAAGGAAAAUCUUUCUUGCUCUGGUUGCUAGAUUUUACUUGUGGCAUGGAAGUAGACAAGAGUAAACAACGCUUGGCAAUGUAACAAGAACUUUUCUUAUGAAGAUCAUCAUUGAUUGCCUUUAAGAACCCAUGCUCGUGCUCAAGGUUGAGCUUUUCAAAGCAUAGCUUCUCAUGAAUCUUUAAAAGCUCUCGAUGAUCUUCCAAGAUAGUUUCAUGAGCUAACUCAAGAGUGUUUAGUUCUUUAGUUAGACGCUUAAUCUCCUUCUUAUCAUCGUCAUUCGUUUUAUCUUGAUUAGCAUGAUUAAUAGCAAGUUCAUCAUAGUUUUCAUCACUAGAGUUGUCAACAAGUAAAUCAUCAUCACCUAGCAAAUCAUCUUCAUCACUAUUGACAUCAACAUACUCGGGGUGUGAUACCUUUGGGCCUUUAGCCAUGAAGCAUCUUCCAAUUCCUUCAUUUGGUGAGUCAAAUAUGUCAUAGGAGUUGGUCGACACAAGUGCUAGACCGGCAACACCUUCAUCUUGAGUAUAUUCGGACUCGGAGUGAUAACUUCUCUCAGGGUGAUGGUCGGUGUCAGAGUCGGAUACCCAUUCACCAAGGUGAGCUUGGUGUCUUCGUUUUUUGUAGCUCCUUGAUAACUUGUCCUUCCUUUCCAAGUCCUUACUUCUGCAAGAGGUUCUUCGUUCAUAACGAUCAUCUCUACCCCUUCUCUCUCUUGGAGAUGAUUCUUCUCUUCUACUUCUCCUUUUAGGUGAGUCUUGUUUUCUUUUGUAGGGAGCCAUACAUUCAUUGGAGUAGUGUCCGGGUCUUCCACAAUUAUGGCAAUUACGCCCACGACUAGAAUAUCUUUUGUCAUUAUAGGACCUUGACUUGGAACUCCUUUCCUUGCUUUUACUUUUGUAGAACUUGUUGAAAUUCUUCACCAUUAGGCUCAAUUCUUCAUUGAAGGCUUAUUUCUCACUUGACAAUGUAGGAACAUCACAUGAGGCUUUGUAAGCACCACUAGACUUGUUGUGCAGCUCUUCUUUAUCACAAUUCUUCCAAUGACUUCCGUUGGCUUGAGAUCUUUGUAGUAGGGCAUCAUUUGGAUCAAUGUGCACAUGGUAUCAUAUUUUCCAUCCAAGGCUCUUAGGAUAUUUUUGAUGAUGAAUCUGUUAGUCAUCUCUUCACUUCCUAAGUCGGCAAUCUCAUUUGUGAUGAGAGCAAGCCUAGAGUACAUUUCAGCGACACCUUCAACAUCCUUCAUUUUGAACUUGUCAAGCUGACUUUGAAGCAUGUCCAAUUUGGAUUCCUUGACGGAGUCGGUACCAUCGUGCAUAUCAAUCAAAGUAUCGCAAAUUUCCUUAGCAUUCUCAAGACGGCUGAGUUUGUUGAAUUCUUCGAGGCACAAUCCGUUGAAGAGGAUAUCAUAAGCAUGAGCAUUGUAUUGUAGCAUCUUCAACUCUUCCGCGGUAGCUUCACGAUUCAGUUCUCUCCCAUCAAAGAAUUCACCUUAUAAGCCAAUACACACAAUAGCCCAAACGGCGGGGUUAUGUCCAAGAAUAUGCAUUUCUAUCUUAUCCUUCCGAUUAGCAAAAUUAGUACCAUCAAAGUAAGGACCUCUACGGUGGUAAUUUCCCUCACUAGACGCCAUACUCUCCUAGGUUGUGAAACCAACGCUAUGAUCACCAAAGCUAUGAAAAUCAAGGCAAAAUGGAGACAAAAUCUCUAAUACCACUUGUAGGAUCAAAAAUAUGUCUAGAGGGGGGUGAUUAGACUACUUGACCAAAUAAAAAUCUGGCCUUUUCUCAAUUUUACGUCUUGGCAGAUUUUAGCAACUUAGCACAAGUCAAGCAAUCAAACUACACAUGCAAAUCUAAGAGUAUACCAGCGAAAUGUAAAUCAUUGCAUAUGAAGGUAAAGGGAGGAGUUUAGAGGGAUCAAAUGCAAUGUAGACACGGAGAUUUUUGGCGUGGUUCCGAUUGGUGGUGCUAUCGUACAUCCACGUUGAUGGAGACUUCAACCCAUGAAGGGUAACAGUUGUGCGAGUCCACAGAGGGCUCCACCCAUGAAGGGUCCACGAAGAAGCAGCCUUGUCUAUCCCACCAUGGCCAUCGCCCACGAAGGACUUGACUCACUCGGGUAGAUCUUCACGAAGUAGGCGAUCUCCUUACCCUUACAAACUCCUUGGUUAAACUCCACAAUCUUGACGGAGGCUCCCAAGUAACACCUAACCAAUCUAGGAUACAUCACUCUCCAAAAGGUAAUAGAUGGUGUGUUGAUGAUGAACUCCUUGCUCUUGUGCCUCAAAUGAUAGUCUCCCCAACACUCAACUCUCUCUCACAGAUUUGGAUUUGGUGGAAAGAUGAUUUGAGUGGAAAGCAACUUGGGGAAGGCUACAGAUCAAGAUUCUUGUGAUUGGAUUGGAAUAUAUUGGUCUCAAUACAUGAGUAGGUGGUUCUCUCUCAGAACGUGAAUGCUAGAAGUGUAGGCACGUUUUGAUGGCUCUUUCCAUGAAUGGAGGAUGGGUGGAGGGGUAUAUAUAGCCUCCACACAAAAUCUAAUCGUUACACACAAUUUACCAAACUCGGUGGGACUGAAUAGUUAAACUCAGUCAGACCUAUUUAGUUCAAAAUGUGAACGCUAGGAUUUUUGGUGGGACCGACAUGUCAACUCGGUGGGACCGAUUUCAUUAGGGUUAGGGCAUAACAUAAUCUCGGUGAGACCAAUCACAUAAACUCGGUGAGACCAAUUUCUGUAAUAGGCAAACAGAGAGUUGGUCAGGCAAACUCGGUGGGACCGAUCACUCAUUUCGGUGAGACCGAAAUGUAACGAAAAGGAAACAGAGAGUUUGCAUCGCUCAUUUCGGUUGGACCGAAACGUUACGAGGGGAAACAGAGAGUUUGCAAUCCCAUCUCGGCGAGACCGGGAUCCCUAUCAGUGAGACCGAACAUAUUAGGGUUUUUGGCUAUGGCUAUGUCAAAUGACCUCGGUGACGCCGGAUAGAUCAAAUCGGUGGGGACGAGUUUGACUUUUGGUUUGAGACAUAUGUGGAUAUGAGAAAGUGGUCGAGGGCUUUGGAGCAUAUCACUAAGAAUUUUGAGCAAGCAAGCCAUUAAGCAACACCUCAUCUCCUUUUAAUAGUAUUGGCUUUUCCUAUGGACCCAAUGUGAUCUUGGAUCACUCAAAUGAAAAUAUAGAGUCUUUAGCUUGAGCCAAUAUGUGUCCUUAGCAUUUUUAGGGGUCCACAUUUCUAGUCCAUGCCAUGUCAAUCAUUGAACUUUCUGAAAUAAUCAUCUUGAAAGAGCAUUAGUUCAAUGAGCUAUAUGUUGUUAGGAAUUACCAAAACCACCCAGGGAUAGUUGCACUUUCACGCGCGUCGGUUGUCUUUCUUCAGGAUUUUUGCAUGAGAAGACUGGGCACGGUGUCUGUGCUCGGGUCCAUCCCUACAGCGUCGGUAAACCCAACGACUGAGCUCUGUCUGGCGGGUCGGUCCCGUUCACAUCACCUCAUGGGGUCGUUGGUGUUUGGCCUUUGUGAUGCCCCGAGACCGGUGCGCCUGGUGUCUCCCAGAUAUUCUCUGUCGUUGCCAUGUCAUUCUGCUUGCGUGUUGCAUUUUGCCAUGUCAUCAUGUGCAUUGCAUCCUCAUGUUUUCCAAAACUUGCAUCCGUCCUGGUCUCCCUUUUCCUUCCGUUGUCCGUUUCGAGCCCAGACACACUCGCAUGCGCCCGCGGCACGUCCGAAAUAUUAUUUUAUAAGUGGCGGGAAAAUGUUCUCGGAAUGGGAUGAAAGUUGGCGUGCGGUGUUGUUAUGUUGUCAGUAGGCCGCCUGCCAAGUUUCAUCGCAUUCGGAGCCCGUUUGAUAGCCCAACCAUUAAACAUAUACCGACACUAGCCGGUCCAUCGUCAGACAUUUUCGGUCUCCGAAAACUUCUGUCGGGUCUCUCUCUCUUUUCUCUUCCACGACCCAAGGCAUCUCCACACAGCCACAAUCAGCCAACCUGCAGCCCGCUAAAACCCUCCUCUGACCGGAACCGUUCGAUUGCGAUGGGACGGUCCAAAAACGACCUCAAACCCACCAAAACCUAACCCCUUCCUUAUAUAAACACCCCACAUGCCAAUUUUGGCCUCCUCCAACCCCCACCUCAUUUUCCGCGCCCCAAUCAUCUGCCGCUGGCGCCCUCUUUGUGUUCCGCGCCGGCCACCUCCUCAGCGCCAGUUAGCGAGUCGCCAGUGGGCGCGUCGCCUCCAGCCGACCCCCUCCAGCCAAUCAGAGAAAGCCACGCGCCCCCUACCUCCUAGCGCCACCGUGGCCCGCCCAGGCCUCGGGAAAGCCCGUGGAGCCCAUCGGGGCCCGCCCCCAAGCCCGCGCGUCGCCGCCUUCUAUCCAGAUUAGGAGAGCCUCGAUCUCUCCUCCCGCUCACCCCCGACGUCCGCCGCAGGCGACCAAGGCCGUCGGAGCUCGCCCGCCACGACCUCGUCGGAGCCGACGCCGGCGACCCCAUCUUGUCUCGCCGCCAGGUCGGGCCCCCAUCCCUCUCCUCUCCCGUUCUCUCUCUUUUCUCUCUUUCUCUCCCUAACCUCUCUGCUCUCCUUCUUGGUCAGCGCCGCGCCAGGGCUCCCUCGACGUCGCCCCACGACGAGCCGCCGCCGGAUCCGGCCAUCUCCGGUCCAUCCCCGCCGGAUCAGCGUCGUCACCGCUGUUCCAAGCCCCGCCCUCGCGGGAGCCACCUAGCGCCGCCGCCCCUUGCCUACUGUUCAUGAGCCAGGCACUAGGAGGGCGACGAGCGCGUUGACUGCGCGUGGUCUGCGCAGGGCCUCGGCCUCGCCCGCCAGCCCAACCGGACCAGUCGGCCUACCUCCUCCACAGAUCUGGGCUUUUGGCGCAUGGUGAGCCACCCACACCCUAGCGCCCAAGUGCUUUGUACGCCCAGUUUUGGCCCGUGCCUAUUUUUUAACUGUUCGGUGAAUUUCCUAAAUAACCAGUGCAUGUAUAUUAUAGUUUUGCCAUCGCUUUAAAAUGCUCAUACCUAGAGAACCGUGCAUCGGAUUUAAACAUGUUAUAUAUGUAAACUACUUAGAUUCCUAUCUAGUUUCAUAAUCCGCAUAAUUCAUCCAUGUUAAAAAUGUUAAAAAUGUUGUUUGAUAAAAUUUGUAUAUUGCCAUGUUAAAAUGAUUUAAUUCAUAACUAAUUAACCGUAGCUCGGAUUUAAAUAAACUUUAUAUGCAAAUGGGGUAGAAAAAUGCCUAGUUUGACAUGGUGCACUCAUCUUGCAUGUUUAACAACUCUAAAAUAUGGUUUAGGGCAGAACAAUACCAAAUUCAUAAUAUGCAUAUGGGGAUUUUUUGGAAUUGUUGUUUGUUAUUUCCGGCCUCAUUUAAACUUGCCUAAAUAGUUAGUUUACUUAUGUCUCACCUCUUGCCAUGUUAACCAACAUUUAAUACUGUUGGGUACAUAAACAAGAGCAAACUAAAUAACUUGAAUGUGGGGUUUCGUCAAUAUGCAACUUGUCACAUAUUGAGCUCCACUUAACUUGUAGUGUUGUUUGUGCACUUGCCAUGCCAUGCAUAUUUUAACCGGACAUGCAUCAUCCUUGGUUGUGCAUCAUGCCAUGUUUAUGUUUGUGUGUUUACCAUGUUGCUUGCUUCUUGCUGGUUUGCUUCUCUCGUUAGCUUCGGUUUCGUUCCGGAGUUGUGAGGAUUCGUUCGACUACGUCCGUUUUUCUUCUUCAUGGACUCGUUCUUCUUCCUUGCAGGAUCUCAGGCAAGAUGACCAUUAUCCUCGAUAUCACUUCUAUCUUUGCUUGCUAGUUGUUCGUUCUAUCGCGAUAUCGCGCUACCUACCACUUGUUUAUCAUGCCUCCCAUGUUGCCAUGUCAAGCCUCUAACCCACCUUCCUAGCAAAUCGUUGUUUGGCUAUGUUACCGAUUUUGCUCAGCCCCUCUUAUAGCGUUGCUAGUUGCAGGUGCCUUGUAGGUUGUUCCAUGUUGGAACAUAGAUAUGUUGGGAUAUCAUAUCUCUUAUUUAAUUAAUGCAUCUAUAUACUUGGCAAAGGGUGGAAGGCUUGGCCUUUUGCUCGGUGUUUUGUUCCACUCUUGCCGCCCUAGUUUCCGUCAUACUGUUGUUAUGUUCCUUGAUUUUGUGUUCCUUACACAGUUGGGGUUAUGUGACCCCCCUUGACAAUUCGCUUUGAAUAAAACUUCUCCAGCAAGGCCCAACCUUGGUUUUAACAUUUGCCUAACAACCUAAACUUUUCCCUUGGGAGUUAUAAACCCAAGGGUCAUAUUUAUUUAACCCCCCCCCCCCAGGCCAGUGCUCCUCUGAGUGUUGGUCCGAACUGGGCGAUGUCCGGUGCCCCCUGGGCAACCAGGGUCUCAGCUAACCUGACGUCUUGCCCAUCCGGUGUGCCCUGAGAACGAGAUACGUGUGACUCCUAUCGGGAUGAUUCGGCACAUCAGGCAGUCUUGCCGGUAUUGUUUUACCAUUGUCGAAAUGUCUUGUAACCGGGAUUCCAAGACUGAUCGGGUCUUUCCGGGGGACAUAAUAUCCUUUGUUGAUCGUGAGAGCUUGUGAUGGUCUAAGUUGGGACCCCCUGCAGGGUAUAAACUUUUGAGAGUCGUGCCCACGGUUAUGUGGCAGAUGAGAAUUUGUUUAUAUCUGGUUGUAGAGAACUUGACACUAAACUUAAUUAAAAUGAAUCAACCGUGUGUGUAGCCAUGAUGGUCUCUCUUCGGCGGAGUCCGGGAAGUGAACACGGUUUGAGUUAUGUUUGAACGUAAGUAGUUUCAGGAUCACUUCUUGAUCACUUCUAGCUUCACAACCAUUGCGUAGCUUCUCAUCUCACUCUUAUAUGCGUAUGUUAGCCACCAUUCUUUGCUUAGCGCUUGUUGUAACUCCACUUCAUUACCUUAUCCUACCCAUAAGCUUAAAUAGUGUUGAUCUCGCGGGUUUUGAGUUUGCUGAGUCCUCGUGACAAACAGAUACAACCAAAAUAGUUGCAAGUGCCGAUCAUACCAGUAAAGGUGCCGCAACCGAGCUCAAGUGGGAGUUCGACGAGGACCUUGGUCGUUACUAUGUUUCAUUUCCUGAUGAUCAGUAGUGGAGUCCAGUUGGGACGAUCGGGGAUCUAGCAUUUGAGGUUAUCUUCUUUCCAUUUGGUUUUGACCGUAGUCGGUCUAUGUGUGUAUUUUGGAUGAUGUAUGAAUUAUUUAACUAUUGUGUGAAGUGGCAAUUGUAAGCCAACCCUCUUUAUCACUUUCUUGUUCAUUACAUGGGACUAUGUGAAAUGACCCUUCUUGCGAUAAAACCACAAUGUGGUUAUGCCUCUAAGUCGUGCCUCGACACAUGGGAGAUAUAGCCGCAUCGUGGGUGUUACAAGUUGGUAUCAUAGCCAUCUCCGACUUAGGAGCCCCCUGCUUGAUCGAAUCGCUGAUGUUGUUGAGUCUAGAACAAAAAUGUUUUGAGUCUUAGGACUAUAUAUAUCGGAGAGUAGGAUUAUUUUUACUCCUUAGUCCCUUCUUCUCUCUGGUGAGGCCUCCUGACGUAAAUGUUUUGACUUUCCUCUCCUCAAAUUUCACGAAAAAAAUUAGGACCACGCGGGUAUAUUGGAAUCAUUCCGAUAUUCUUGUGAUGAGAACAUUGUUCUUGGUGCCUCCUGACAUUUAGGGGUUGUGGCAGUGUCCCAGAGAGUUGAGCUCUGAGGUGUUGUCGUCACAAUUUUAUUAUUGCAGUUCUGGAAUACCUGAGUUCGCCGACAUCGAAAAUCUGUUUUAUGCAGUUGUUGGUGAGAUAACCUCGACGCCACCCAGUACUGGGUCAGGAAUUCGAGAAUAUAGCCAUAACUCGUAUAAAGGAUGCUUUUCGAAGGUUUAGGUACAUGAUUUCCAGAGUUUUCUUGGUUAUGUGUUGACGGAUGGAUACAGUUGGAGCAUAGGGCUUGUUAGUUGUGUGAUAUAUAUUGUGCCACUCUGUAUCCCCAACACCAGAUUGCAUAACCAGAAAGUUUCGGGAGUUAAUAGGUGGGAUUCAAGUAGCUCCUAGAAUAUCUUUCUGACAGAUGCAUGAUAUGGGAUUGGGUAAAUCUCUAUCAUAUGUAUUUGUUUCGGCUUAUUCUGCAAGCCAAAUCUUUGAUUUGUUUUGAGUUGUGGUAUUCGAGUUGCUUCAAUGUCAAGUGUUGAUUCCAUAUCUUUCCUAAGCGGUGUUGUCAUAUCCCUAUGUGAAUACUAAUCCUUCUUAUUUAUCGAGAUUGUCAUCCCAAUUCUAUUUCCAACCGGUGCGCUUCUCUUCGAGAGGAUCCCAUCAUUCUCCCCACCCGCAAGAUCAAUUCUAAGUUUUCUCAAAGGUGUUUCUUCCAUCAGUCCCAAGUUGCCUUUGUUUCUUUCCCGCCCUCCCACCCUUUUCUUCAAGGACUCAUAUAUAUCUUAAUCAUGUAUCCUUUUAUUCAGGUGAAGCCCCUUCAUUCUUUUCAAUCAAUGAUCUUAUCUAGUGAUUCUCUAGAAGAUGCUUAGGAGCUAUAAGUUUAUCAUUCUUCGUUCUCUUUUCUUCUCCGGUGGAUUCAAUUCAAGCUUUUGGUGUUGAUCAUAUCCCUUUCCUCGUUUCAAAUGCUUUCUCGUGUUGGAAGUUCUUAUCCAAGCAUCUCUGGACCAUUAACAUUACGAUUCUUGUAUCCGGAGUGCUGAAGAUAUCUCAGAAGAUUCACGUUUCCAUUCUCAAUCCGUUCAAGUUAUUUCGAGGUUGUUAUCUCAUUCGACCAUUUAGUUCAACUGGUGCAAUCUCUCUUUAUAUCAUUCAAUGGUGUAUCUUUGAGUGGGCCCUAACCCACAGGUCUUUUCCCAGGAUCUUACCCGACUCUUCUAAUUUUGUCGGAGUUAUUCCCUAAUUUUUUUCGAAGUUUGACGUAAGAAUGAAUUAUCAUCAGCCAGAUGCCUUCUCCAGGAUCGCUUUCAAAUUCUUUUCAUCGCUGAUUCAACCUUUAUAUUCUUCAUUAUCCUGGAGUGUCUCGGCAAUUAAUGGUGGUGUUUCUCAUCGUCAUUCUCAACAUUUGAAGACCAAAGAAGAGUUCCUCUUAAAUCCUUGCCCGUUCUUCCAAAGAUUCAUGGUUCUAGCUUUAUGCCAUCCUCAUAAUUGCUCUAAUCAUCAAGGAUUCUUUUCAAACCCAUCCGGGGCAUUUUAGGAGUUAUUCGCUUCUUGAUCAUCCAAAGGCCAUCAUUUCAGAAGAUUUAUGCAUUCUCAGCAUUCAGCUUGCAUUCCCUAAUUCUACCAGCGCAUCAUCGAACUAUCCUCUAAUCAGUUCAUGAUCUCUUAGUUCUAUUGUAUCUAAUUUCCCUCAAGUAUCAACGUUGUUUUCUAAUUUGUAAUACCCACGAUGCGGCUAUAUCUCCCACGUGUCGGAGCACAACUUAGAGGCAUAGCCACAUAGUAGGCAUGUCGCAAGAGGGGUAAUCUUUACACAUCCCAUGUACUGAAUAAGAAAGGGAUAAAGAGUUGGCUUACAAUCGCCACUUCACACCAUACAUAAACAUAGCAUUACAUCAUCCAGAUACAAUCAAGGUCCGACUACGGAACCAAAUAAAGAAAGACAACCCCUAAUGCAAUAGAUCCCCGAUCGCCCCGACUGGGCUCCACUACUGAUCAACUAGAAACGAAACAACACAACGAACACGAUCUUCAUCGAGCUCCCACUUGAGCUCGGUUGUGUCACCUGCAUGGUAUCAUCAACACCUGCAACUGUUUGAAGUAAUCUGUGAGUCACGAGGACUCAACAAUCUCACACCCGCGAGAUCAAGACUAUUUAAGCUUAUGGGUAGGAAAGGGUAGUGAGGUGGAGCUGCAGCAAGCACUAGCAUAUAUGGUGGCUAACUUACGCAAACGAGAGCGAGAAGAGAAGCAAAACACGGUCGUGAACUAGAAGUGAUCAAGAAGUGAUCCUGAAACUACUUACGUUCAAGCAUAACACAAGAACCGUGUUCACUUCCCGGACUCCGCCGAGAAGAGAUCAUCACGGCUACACACGCGAUUGAUGCAUUUUAAUUAAGUUAAGUGUCAGGUUUUCUACAAUCGGACAUUAACAAAUUCACAUCUGCCCAUAACCGCGGGCACGGCUUUCGAAAUUUCAAAGCCCUGCAGGGGUGUCCCAACUUAGCCCAUCACAAGCUCUCACGGUCAACGAAGGAUAUUCCUUCUAGCGGGAAGACCCGAUCAGUCUCGGAAUCCCGAUUACAAGACAUUUCGACAAUGGUAAAACAAGACCAGCAAAGCCACCCGAUGUGCCGACAAAUCCCGAUAGGAGUUGCACGUAUCUUAUUCUCAGGGCAACACAGGAUGAGACUAGCUACGAGUAAAACCAACCCUCAAGUUUCCCCGAGGUGGCCCCGUAGGCAGCUUGGUUCAGACCAACACUCAGAGGAGCACUGGCUUGGGGGGUUUAAAAUAACAUGACCCUUGAGUCUGCAGAACCCAAGGCAAGGUAUAUGGUGGUAGGUAGGCAAAUGGUAAAACCAAGGUCGGUCCUUGCUGGAGGAGUUUUAUUCAAAGCGAACUGUCAAGGGGUUCCCAUAACACCCAACCGCGUAAGGAACGCAAAAUCAAGGAACAUAACACCGGUAUAACGGAAACUAGGGCGACAAGAGUGGAACAAAACACUAGGCAUAAGGCCGAGCCUCCCACCCUUUACCAAGUAUAUAGAUGCAUUAAUUAAAUAAGAGAUAUUGUGAUAUCCCAACAAAUAUCCAUGUUCCAACAUGGAACAAACUCCAUCUUCACCUGCAACUAACAACGCUAUAAGAGGGGCUGAGCAAAGAGGUAACAUAGCCAAACAACGGUUUGCUAGGACAAGGUGGGUUAGAGUCUUGACAUGGCAAUAUGGGAGGCAUGAAAAAGCAAGUGGUAGGUAUCGCGGCAUAGGCAUAGCAAUAGAGCGAGCAACUAGCAAGCAAAGAUAGAAGUGAUUUCGAGGGUAUGGUCAUCUUGCCUGAGAUCCCGCAAGGAAGAAGAACGAGUCCAAGAAGAAGACAAACAGACGAAGUCAAACGGAUCCUCAUAAAUGCGACGUUAUCGGAACUAACCUGAAGAAGCAACACUGGAAAGAAGCAAACAACAUAGUAAACAACCAUCACAUAAACAUGGCAUGAUGCACAACCAAGUAUGAUGCAUGUCUGGUUUAAAAAGGCAUGGCAUGGCAAAGUGCAACAAACAACACUACAAAUUAAGUGGAGCUCAAUAUGCAAUGAGUUGCAUAUUGAUGGAACACCACAUCAAUUAUUUAGUUCACUCUCAUUUAGGUACCCAACAAUAUUAAAUGUUGUUAAACAUGGCAAGAGAGUGAAACAUAACAAAACUAUACCAUCUAACAAUUUAAAUGGGGCCGGAUAUAACAAACAGCAAAUUCGGUAAAACCCCAUAUGCAUUUAGCAAUUCAAAGCAACAACAAUUUAAACAUUCUUGAUGUUGUUAUCAUGAUGCGGAUGACAUUUGCAAGUUUUAUGCAAGUUUUAUGAAAAUAUUGAUAAGAGCAUUAUGAAGCAUUUGUCACCGUGGUGGAAAAAAAGGGUGCCACGACGACGAAUCCGAAAAUGAUGCCACGACAACAUAUCGGUUCCGGUAGCUCACGGAGAUACCGGUGCAAAGGAAGGGUGGCGGGAGCAUGCAAAAGAUGGUGGGGUGAUCCCGGUUACCGGGUUCCCACGGGUGGACGGCAUGGCAACGAGGAGGACCGAGCAAGUGACAACUCGGACACGGUGCAAACAUAGGGUGCAUCUCAUACAACACAUCACAUGCAUACGGUCCACGGACGGCCGUCUCGGGGUUAUACCUUUGAAGCGUGCGAACGGGACAGUUCUCGCGACGGCAGUAGUGGAAGUAGUCAUUUUCGCAUGCUCUAGGGUCGACAAUAGAGGUUCUCGCGAUCUCGGUGACGGUAGUGGUACAUGUUUAUCGUUGCCCGAGUUUCCGUAGAUGUUCAUGUCAUCGGUGUCGUGGUACUUGGGGUCUUCGGACUUUCCGGUCCCGUUCUUGCGACGGUAGUCGUUCACGUUCGUUCGGAGCGGUACUUGAUGACUCCAAUUCCUUUGGGCGAAAAGCACGUCGACGGUAGUCAUUCUAGGUAGGAAACGGUAGCUGAACACAGUUCGUAGAUGUUCAUGUCGCCGUAGUGGUACUUGGUGAAUCCCAAAACAGUCUUGGCGUCUUCGCGCGUAGCGGUACUUGGCGUUUUCCUGUGGUACUUCUCAAGCAAGAAGCGAAGUCAUGGUACUUGGGUCGUCGUGGAACUUGGCGCAUCAUCAUGGUACUUGGCAAAAUUCUCGGAGAAAAGCUUGACAGUCCGGGGACGCUCAGGUCGGUAGAUGUUCUUGGUCUUGCGGUUCGGAGGCCGGUACAAAGAGCUGCGGUUCAUGGCACUGGUCAUAGUGGGCGAGCAGAGGCGCGUCCUCCUCUCUGCUCGAACGAGGCAGAGGCGGAGCAGCGGCUUGACGAACUUGAGGCCAUGGCUGCGGGCUGAGGAACAAGGUCCGGCGAGGGUGGCGACGCUGCUGGUGGAGGACGGCGUGGGCGUAGAAGGCAGGGGCACGAGGAGACGAAUCAGAGGACGGGGAGGCCGGAGGAGCUUCUGCAGUGUUGGAGAAAGGCAUGACGAUGGAGGCAGGUUCGGCAGCCAUGCGGCGACGCGCGUGGAGGGCUCGAGUCCAUGGCGCGGCAGAGAGGCGGGGAAGCGACGGGGCCGCAGCGCCAUGGGGACAAAGGUGGAGGCUCCAGCUCGGGGAGGAGGUCGAGGCCGACAUGAACGGGAGCGCAGCUUCAAUGGCCGGCCGGCGAGGCCAUGUCCUUGGUGCAGAGGAUCCACACGGGAGGAAGGAGAAGGAGUGGAGGACGACGGGGUUUGGAGGAGGAUGAGCGAGGGGCGCUCCUCUCCCUGGCAAUGCGAUCAAGAGGAGGACGAGGGAGGCUGGCGGCGCCGUGGGAGGCAGAGAACGAGAGGAGGAGGUCGGGCACUAGGGUUAGUUGUAGGUGGGCUGUGGGAAGCCUUAGGGAGGUUGGGCCGGCGCUUGUGGGUUAGGCCCAAGAGGUGGGAGUGGGGCGCUGGGAAAGCUGGCAGGAUGCAACUGGGCUGGGAGGCCGGCGCUGCUAGGAGGCCCAAGUGGCCAGAGGCGGCUGGGCUCCCUUCUCCCUCCCUCUUCUCUUAAAACUUAUUUUCUUUAACAGAAAAGAAAUUAGAGAGAGGAAAAGAAAGAGAAGGUUAGGGAAGGAUUUUGCGCAUGGGGAUAAUAUUUCUGGACUCACAAAAAUGUGAGGAAUUUAAAUAAAAUGAAAAGAGGAUUUUUGGAUAAAAAAGGAUUCGCACAUGUUGAAUUUAAUUCAACAUGUUUGAAUUUUUGAAACCCAUUCGAAAGGACUCUAAAAUGGGCUGAGCUUUUUCAGAGGAGCCUCGAUAAAAGAGAUGAGAGAUAUUGGCAAGGUCUGAAGGCCAAACUCGAAGAGGAAUAGACAUGGGAAUUAUUUUGCACGUGUGUUAUGAUGAUUCCAAAUUAAUGGAAUAUUUAUAAUAGCUCCCUAAAAUAUUGGGAGGAUAUGUUAUAUAGAGAAAUCACCAUGUGAGUUCCCUCGAUUUAAAUGGACCGAAGAUCCAUGCAAUUUAUUUAGUUGAGUUGCAAAAGAUUUAUGAGAAGAUGGCAUGAUGACAUGAUGCAAAGCAAAAAUAAAAGGGCAGGCACAAAUGAAACACACGGGGAAACCCGGAACAUAUGGAAGUCUUCUCGAGCAUCAGUCUCGGGGCGUCACAUAAUUCCUCCUGGUGAUUCGUCCAUUUGCUGCGUUCGUUUCAAUUUAUUACGGUGGUUCGUUAAAGAUUCAUUUUACUUUGUUAUCGUAUCAAUUCAUUUGUUGUUUCAAUCCUACCGGCUGUUCAUUGAAGACCUUCUCAAGUUUGCGCUAUAUAUCUCUUCAAUCUUUUAAAGAAGAAUAAGUAGUAUGCCAAAUCUGUUGCUUGUCAUCAAUUUAAAUUGGUGAAGGAUACACAUAACGUAAUUCUUAUUACUGUUUCAUCCAAGUGAUCUAAUUUCUUCUUUCCAGAGUUGUUUACCAUGUCACAUUCUUGGUUCGAGAUGCUUCAUCUUUUAUUUUCGGAGUCACAACUCUCUCAAUUAUCUCGUCGCGAAGCUCCAUCUAAAUCAUUGCAAGGCUUCACCUUGUUCUUUCAACUUCUCUUUCUUUCUAUCAUACUUUUGUUAUCGGAGUUCUUUAUGUAGGCUCUACAUGGUGGUUCGUCAAGGAUUCCUUUCAUUCUUCUAUUGUUAUUCAAUAUUCCCUCUCGAAGUUAAGUUCCGCCAAGCUAUACUCUAAAAUUAACAUGGUGCUCAACACAUGUUUUGUUUUGAGGUUCUUCAUCUUGCAUUCCAAAGUGCAGUUCUUUCUAUCUCAUCUUUUGAGGUGGUGUUAUGUCAUUCUUGAUAAUUUCCCUUCGUGUUUCAUGAUUCAACAGCUGUCAAGAAUGAGAUAGUUAAACCCAACAAUUUCUUCGAGCAUGAGCUAUUCUUAAUCCAUCAAUCUCUUUGUUGGAGUUAUCUUGGGUUAUAUUUCACCUAAAGCUUUCCCUAAGGAUUGUUGCUAUUUAUGGUGCUUAUAAAUGACCCAAGUUCUUCAUUUAUCCUCCCGGUGAAAUAAGUUUCCCGUCCCCUUGUUGAUAUCAAUCCAAUCUAUUGUUUCCGUUAGUGGCAGAAUUUGACCUCAUAAUUUUGAGAUGUUUUACAUAAGCCCACAACAACCUUAUUCUUUUGUUGUUUAAUUUUCAACAACUCCAUUCAAAUCCUUCUUUCUAAGGAUGCUUUCAAUUUCAUUUGCGGUAGGAUUUGUCAUUUGUUCACCGUUCUUUUCUCAAUCCAGCUUCUAUUCUUUCAUUCCAGAGGCAUGAUGAUGUUGCUCUCUUUAACCCAUCAUCUCAUUUUGUAAAGAUCAUGUUUUUUCCUUUCCUUAUCCAUUCAACCGGAGUGUCGUGCCCUCCAUUCAAGUUCUCUCAUCUUAUCAUGUUUUGCUUCCCUUCUCAACCGGAGUGCUGUCUGAAAUCUUUCCUACCCCUUGUGCCAUUCUUUCAAUAGUUCCAGAGGCACUGUGUUGUUGAUUUCAUCAAGUAUCCUCUCAUCUUGUCAAGUUCAUGUUCAAUUCUUUCCAUUUACAAUCGGAGUGCUGUCCAAAUUAUAUCAUUCUUAUUCCUUCUCUAUCUUGUUUUAACCGGAGUGUUGUGUCUAUCAUUCCUCUUCUAUCCGGAGUCUCAUCCAAGUGCUUUCAUUUUGCCAAGUUCAUAUUCUAUGCCUUCCUAUUUCCAACCAGAGUGUUGUCGUAAUUGAUCUUUAUUGUUCCUUGUACAUCUCGUUUCAACCGGAGUGCUUGCAUGUACUUCUUGUCCGUUGUACUCGUCAUUCAUAGCUUUGCAAACUCCAAGGCUCACAUGGUGUUCCUUGUUUCUCUUUUCUACCGGUGUGCUUUCAUAUUCUUUUGGACCGUUAAGCUCUUGUUUCAUGUCCUUCAACCUACAAGGUUCUCGCAAUGUUCCUUGUUCCUCUUUUAUAACUGAGUGUUUUCAACUUCUUGCAUCUUUGUUGGAUUCCUUCUUUCAAUUUGUUUAACCUCUCAAGGUUCGUUGGUUUCACUCUUUUGUCAAAGAAGAAACUUUGUUUUACCUCUUGCUCUUCCGCUUCUCUCCGGUGCCAUUCUUAGAUCUCGGGACGAGAUCUCUUGUAAGUGGAGGAGUGUUGUGACGCCCCGAGACCUAUGCGCCAGAUGUCUCCCAGUUAUUCGCCGUCGUUGCCAUGUCAUUCUGCUUGCGUGUUGCAUUUUGCCAUGUCAUCAUGUGCACUGCAUCCUCAUAUUUUCCAAAACUUGCAUCCGUCCCGGUCUCCCUUUUCCUUCUGUUGUCCUUUCUGAGCCCAGACACACUCGCAUGCGCCCGCGGCACGUCUGAAAUAUUAUUUUAUAAGUGGCAGGAAAAUGUUCUCGGAAUGGGAUGGAAGUUGGCGUGUAGUGUUAUUAUGUUGUCAGUAGGCCGCCUACCAAGUUUCAUCGCAUUCGGAGCCCGUUUGAUAGCCUAACCGUUAAACAUAUAGUGGCACUAUAACUGGUCCAUCGCCGGACGUUUUUGGUCUCCGAAAACUGCUGUCGGGCCUCUCUCUCUUUUCUCUUCCACGGCCCAUGGCCUCUCCACACAACCACAAUCAGCCCAACCGCAGCUCGCUAAAAACCCCCUCUGACCGGAACCGUUCGAUUGCGAUCGGAGGGUCCAAAAACGGCCUCAAACCCACCAAACCCUAACCCCUUCCUUAUAUAACACCCCCACAUGCCAAUUUUGGCCUCCUCCAACCCCCUACCUUGUUUUCUAUGCCCCAAUCAUCAGCCGCCGGUGACCUCUUCGUGUUCCGUGCCGGCCACCUCCUUAGCGGCACUUGGCGAGUCGCUAGUGGGCGCGCCGCCUCCAGCCGACCCCCUCCAGCCAAUCGGAGAAGGCCAUCCGCCCCCUGCCUCCCCGCGCCGCCGUGGCCCACCCAGGCCCGGGGCAAGCCUGCAGAGCCCAGCGGGGCUUGCCCCCGAGCAUGUGCACUGCUGCCUCCGAUCCAGAUUGGGAGAGCCCCGAUCUCUCCUCCCGCGCAUCCCCGACAUCCGUCGCCGGCGACCAAGGCCGCCGGAGCUCACCCGCCAUGACCUCGUCGAAGCUGACACCGGCGACGCCAUCUCGUCUCGCCACUAGGUCGGGGCCCCGUCCCUCUCCUCUCCCUUUCUGUCCCUUCUCUCUUUCUCUCCCUAACCUCUCUACUCUCCUCCUUGGUCAGCGCCGCGCCAGGGCUCCCUCGUCGUCGCCCCACGACGAGCCGUCGAUGGAUCCGGCCAUCUCCGGUCCAUCCCCACCGGAUCCGCGUCGUCAUCGCUGUUCCAAGCCCCGCCCUCGUCGGAGCCUCCUAGCGCCACCGCCCCUUGCCUCCUGUUCGUGAGCCAGGCAUGAGGAGGGCGACAAGCGUGUUGAUCGCGCGUGGUCUUCGCAUGCGCCUCGGCCUCGCCCGCCAGCCCAACCGGACCAGUCGUCCUACCUCCUCCAUCAAUCUGGGCUUUUGGCCCAUGGUGAGCCACCCACACCCUAGCGCCCAAGUGAUCUGUACGCCCAGUUUCGGCCUGUGCCGGCUUUUUACUGUCCGACGAAUUUCCUAAAUAACCAGUGCAUGUAUAUUACAGUUAUGCCAUCGCUUUAAAGUGCUCAUACCUAAACAAUGGUGCAUCGGAUUUAAACAUGUCAUAUAUGUAAACUACUUAGAUUCCUGUCUAGUUUCAUAAUGUGCAUCAUGCAUCCACGUUAAAAAUGUUAAAAAUGUUGUUUGAUUAAAUUUGCAUAUUGCCAUGUUAAAAUGAUUUAAUUCAUAACUAAUAACCGUAGCUCGGAUUUAAAUAAACUUUAUAUGCAAAUGGGGUAGAAAACUUCCUAGUUUGACAUGGUGCACUAAUCUUGCAUGUUUAACAAUUCUAAAAUAUGGUUUAGGGUAGAACAGUACCAAAUUCAUAAUAUGCAUAUGGGGAUUUUCCAGAAUUGUUGUUUGUUAUUUCCGGCCUCAUUUAAACUUGCCUAAAUAGUUGUUUACUUAUGCCUCACCUCUUGCCAUGUUAACCAACAUUUAAUAUUGUUGGGUACAUAAAUGAGGGCAAACUAAAUAACUUGAAUGUGGUGUUUGGUCAAUAUGCAACUUGUCACAUAUUGAGCUCCACUUAACUUGUAGUGCUGUUUGUGCACUUGCCAUGCCAUGCAUAUUUAAACCGGACAUGCAUCAUCCUUGGUUGUGCAUCAUGCCAUGUUUAUGCUUGUGUGUUUACCAUGUUGCUUGCUUCUUUCCAGUUUGCUUCUCUUGUUAGCUUCGGUUUCGUUUCGGAGUUGUCAGGAUUCGUUCGACUACAUCCGUUUCUCUUCUUCAUGGACUCGUUCUUCUUACUUGCGGGAUCUCAGGCAAGAUGACCAUUACCCUCGAUAUCACUUCUAUCUUUGCUUGCUAGUUGUUCGUUCCAUCGCUAUGUCGCGCUACCUACCACUUGUUUAUCAUGCCUCCCAUGUUGCCAUGUCAAGCCUCUAACCCACCUUCCUAGCAAACCGUUGUUUGGCUAUGUUACCGCUUUUGCUCAGCCCCUCUUAUAGCGUUGCUAGUUGCAGGUGCCUUGCAGGUUGUUCCAUGUUGGAACAUGGAUAUGUUGGGAUAUCAUAUCUCUUAUUUAAUUAAUGCAUCUAUAUACUUGGCAAAGGGUGGAAGGCUUGGCCUUUUGCUCGGUGUUUUGUUCCACUCUUGCCACCCUAGUUUCUGUCAUAGUGGUGUUAUGUUCCUUGAUUUUGCGUUCCUUACGCGGUUGGGGUUAUGGGACCCCCUUGACUGUUCCCUUUUAAUAAAACUCCUCUAGCAAGGCCCAACCUUGGUUUUAACAUUUGCCUAACAACCUAAACUUUUCCCUUGGGAGUUAUGAACCCGAGGGUCAUCUUUAUUUAACCCCCUCGGGCCAGUGCUCCUCUGAGUGUUGGUCCGAACUGGGCGAUGUCCGGCGCCCCCUGGGCAACCAGGGUCUCAGCUAACCCGACAUCUUGCCCAUCCGAUGUGCCCUGAGAACGAGAUACGUGCGACUCCUAUCGGGAUUUGUUGGGACAUCGGGCAGUCUUGCUGGUCUUGUUUUACUAUUGUCGAAAUGUCUUGUAACCGGGAUUCUGAGACUGAUCGGGUCUUUCCGGGAGAAGGAAUACCCCUCGUUGACCGUGAGAGCUUGUGAUGGGCUAAGUUGGGACACCCCUGCAGGGUAUAAACUUUCGAGAGCCGUGCCCACGGUUAUGUGGCAGAUGGGAAUUUGUUUAUAUCCGGUGUAGAGAACUUGACACUAAACUUAAUUAAAAUGAAUCAACCGCGUUUGUAGCUGUGAUGGUCUCUCUUCGGCGGAGUCCGGGAAGUGAACACAGUUUGAGUUAUGUUUGAACGUAAGUAGUUUCAGGAUCACUUCUUGAUCACUUCUAGCUUCACAACCGUUGUGUAGCUUCUCAUCUUAGUCUUAUAUACGUAUGUCAGCCACCAUUUUUUCUUAGCACUUGCUGCAACUCCACUUCAUUACCUUAUCCUACCCAUAAGCUUAAAUAGUCUUGAUAUUGCGGGUUUUGAGAUUGCUGAGUCCUCAUGACUCACAGAUACUACCAAAACAGUUGCAGGUGCCGAUGAUACCAGUGCAGGUGACGCAAUCGAGCUCAAGUGGGAGUUUGACGAGGACCUUGGUCGUUACUAUGUUUUGUUUCCUGAUGAUCAGUAGUGGAGUCCAGUUGGGACGAUCGAGGAUCUAGCAUUUGGGGUUAUCUUCUUUUCAUUUGGUUUUGACUGUAGUCGGUCUACAUGUGUAUUUUGGAUGAUGUAGAAUUACUUAAGUAUUGUGUGAAGUGGCGAUUGUAAGCCAACCCUCUUUAUCUCUUUCUUGUUCAUUACAUGGGAUUGUGCGAAGAUGACCCUUCUUGCGACAAAACCACAAUGCGGUUAUGCCUCUAAGUCGUGCCUCGACACGUGGUAGAUAUAGCCGCAUCGUGAG
Molecule: long non-coding RNA, 22482 nt
Filed under: Triticum aestivum (bread wheat)
Lineage: Eukaryota; Viridiplantae; Streptophyta; Magnoliopsida; Poales; Poaceae
Description: long non-coding RNA (TAES_LNC025544)
Source: RNAcentral